AUUGAACGCUGGCGGCAUGCUUUACACAUGCAAGUCGAACGGCAGCACGGGGGCAACCCUGGUGGCGAGUGGCGAACGGGUGAGUAAUAUAUCGGAACGUACCCGGAAAUGGGGGGAUAACGUAGCGAAAGUUACGCUAAUACCGCAUAUGCCCUAAGGGGGAAAGCGGGGGAUUCGCAAGAACCUCGCGUUUUCGGAGCGGCCGAUAUCGGAUUAGCUAGUAGGUGAGGUAAGGCUCACCUAGGCGACGAUCCGUAGCUGGUCUGAGAGGACGACCAGCCACACUGGAACUGAGACACGGUCCAGACUCCUACGGGAGGCAGCAGUGGGGAAUUUUGGACAAUGGGCGCAAGCCUGAUCCAGCCAUGCCGCGUGCAGGAUGAAGGCCUUCGGGUUGUAAACUGCUUUUGUACGGAACGAAAGACUCUGGUUAAUACCUGGGGGUCCAUGACGGUACCGUAAGAAUAAGCACCGGCUAACUACGUG
Molecule: ribosomal RNA, 486 nt
Filed under: uncultured bacterium
Lineage: Bacteria
Description: bacterial SSU rRNA
Rfam family: Bacterial small subunit ribosomal RNA
Source: RNAcentral